This 1566-nucleotide unclassified non-coding RNA is filed under the name Drosophila yakuba. RNAcentral describes it as "septin 2". Lineage: Eukaryota; Metazoa; Arthropoda; Insecta; Diptera; Drosophilidae. The record is from RNAcentral.
CUGGCCACACUUGCAGAUUCGUUGGCGACGCCUUUGAUCCGAUCUCUGUUCCCGGAUUAUUGGAUUAUUUGACUUUACUAUUGGAAAAUGUCCGUAGAAGUGGAUUUCGUCGACAAAAAGGAGAUUCAUCUCCGAACCCUGAAGCAGUCCGGUCACGUGGGAUUCGACAGCUUGCCGGACCAACUGGUCAACAAGAGUGUCCAGAAUGGAUUUGUCUUCAACGUCAUGUGUAUAGGCGAAACCGGACUGGGCAAAUCCACGCUGAUGGACACGUUGUUCAACACCAGCUUCGAGUCCACACCGAGUCCCCACACCUUGCCCAGCGUCAAGUUAAAGGCACACACCUACGAGCUGCAGGAGAGCAAUGUGCGACUCAAGCUGACCAUAUGUGACACGGUGGGCUACGGCGAUCAGAUUAACAAGGACGACUCGUUUAAGGCGGUGGUGGACUACAUCGAUGCACAGUUCGAGAACUAUCUCCAGGAGGAGCUGAAGAUCAAGCGAUCGCUGGUGUCAUGUCACGACAGCCGCAUCCACAUCUGCCUCUACUUCAUCUGCCCCACUGGGCACGGCCUCAAAUCGUUGGAUCUGGUGUGCAUGAAGAAGCUGGACAGCAAGGUGAACAUCAUUCCGGUGAUUGCUAAGGCGGAUACCAUUUCCAAGGUUGAGCUGCAGCGCUUUAAGGCAAAGAUCAUUCAGGAGCUAAACACCAAUGGAGUACACAUCUAUCAGUUCCCAACCGAUGAUGAGACGGUGGCCGAGACCAACACCAGCAUGAACUCGCACAUUCCCUUCGCCGUGGUGGGCAGCACGGAGUUUAUUAAGGUGGGGAACAAGCUCAUCCGCGCUCGCCAGUAUCCCUGGGGCACGGUGCAGGUGGAGAAUGAGACGCACUGCGACUUUGUGAAGCUUCGCGAGAUGCUUAUUCGCACCAACAUGGAGGAUAUGCGCGAAAAGACACACACGCGGCACUACGAGCUGUAUCGCCAGAAGAGACUUGAGCAAAUGGGCUUCAGCGAUGUGGAUAGCGACAACAAGCCAAUUUCGUUCCAGCAGACGUUUGAGGCCAAGCGCUCCAACCAUCUGGCCGAGCUGCAGUCGAAGGAGGAAGAGGUUCGCCAAAUGUUCGUGCAGCGCGUGAAGGAGAAGGAGGCCGAGCUGAAGGAGAGCGAGAAGGACCUGCACGCCAAGUUCGAGAAACUAAAGCGGGAUCACGCCGAGGAGAAGCGCAAGCUGGAGGAGUCGCGAAAGGCGCUCGAGGAGGAUUACCUCGACUUCCAGCGGCGCAAGCAGCAGUUGGUCACCGCCCACCACACGCUCACCCUCGGCAAGAGCAAGAAGAAGUAGAAUCCGGCGGCACCGCCGAACAAUGUAUUGAGAAUUCUGUGCGGUUCGCUUAUCCCAAAGUAAUUAUUGCUUUCUCAUCUCGUUGUCUUUCAUUUGUACUAUUAAGUUUACUUCAAAUAUUAACAUAUACACAACUACACGCAUAUGUACGCAGUAAUAUAUGAUUAUGUAUUUACAACUAACGAAUAAAUCGAACUUAGUAUUUUAACAAGGUAAAAA